RNAcentral lists this ribosomal RNA (774 nucleotides) under uncultured Neocallimastigales. Its description in RNAcentral is "partial large subunit ribosomal RNA". It matches the Rfam family "Eukaryotic large subunit ribosomal RNA", at positions 20 to 645 of the family's 3401-position model. Lineage: Eukaryota; Fungi; Neocallimastigomycota; Neocallimastigomycetes; Neocallimastigales. The record is from RNAcentral.
UACUAGAGUAGCACUCGCAUAUCAAUAAGCGGAGGAAAAGAAACUAACAAGGAUUCCCCUAGUAACGGCGAGUGAAGCGGGAAGAGCUCAAAUUUGAAAUCUUAAAGGGUUUCCCUUUACGAAUUGUAGUUUAAAGAAGUGUUUUCUGUUGAGGUUUUGGUAAAAGUUCUUUGGAAUAGGACAUCAUAGAGGGUGAGAAUCCCGUAUUUGACCUUUACUUUCAACUUUGUGAUACACUUUCAAAGAGUCGGAUUGUUUGGGAAUGCAGUCCAAAAUGGGUGGUAAAUUUCAUCUAAAGCUAAAUAUUGGCGAGAGACCGAUAGCGAACAAGUACCGUGAGGGAAAGAUGAAAAGAACUUUGAAAAGAGAGUUAAACAGUACGUGAAAUUGUCAAAAGGGAAGCGUUUGACACCAGUGUUGUUUUUCUGAAAAUCAAUUAAAGAACUGUUUAUGCUAAGUUGUUUAGACUUUAUCAGCUAUCUGUUUAGUUUUGAGCUUUUCUUUAAUGCACUUUUCAGUUAACAAGUCAACAUCAAUUUCUUUUGCUGUAAAAAAGCUUGAGGAAGGUGGCUUGAGAUUCGUCUUAAGUGUUUAUAGCCUCUUGCCUAUGCAGUCGGAGAGAUUGAGGUCUGCAGCGUAGAUCCUUCGGGGCUAAAUGCAUUUGUGCUAAGUUAUAGCAUUUUAUAGACAACUUGUUGACUAUGAUUUGUCUUGUAGCUUACUCGCUUAUGUUAUUUUACCUACGCUUAGGAUGUUGAUCUCUCACAGUCGAGC